Long non-coding RNA from Haemorhous mexicanus (house finch), 1864 nucleotides. RefSeq lists it as uncharacterized. The transcript has 3 exons. NCBI's taxonomy places the organism in Eukaryota, Metazoa, Chordata, Aves, Passeriformes, Fringillidae. The record is from RefSeq and is a predicted model, not a curated record.
GGGAAAGAACAAUGAAAAUCCAUUUAAUCCUGAGCCGUCACAGGGGCUGGAAAUAAAACAUCCUUGCUGUUGUUCAGUGGACUUCCUCUCACAGUUUUCUAGUGGAAUGCUGUUAUCCCACCAAGGACUAUCAGAGUGAGAAUCAGCUGUUCAUGUCCGUUUGGAGCACCUGCGAGAUUUUUGUUGACGUGGAGAAUUGUGCUCUGCUGGAAGAAUGCACAGAGUCACCCAGAGAUUUAAGGUGAAUGAUGGUGAGCUAGCAACAUUUUCUGAAACAUGCAGGCCAGCAAUAUCUGCCAACAUCUGUUGUGAGAGAGGGGGUGGGAGAGGAAGAGAGAAGGUUUUAUACAUAGGUGUAUACCUAUGUUAACAUAUAUAUAUGUUGUUAUAGGUGUGUAGGAACACACCUAUAACAACAUAUAUCAGACUACUUAAAUGAUAGCACACAGUGUGCUUUAGACAGUCAAGCCAAUAUUUAAUGGAAAUGUAAGUGAACAUAAUUUGAAGUAUUGUUAUUUUCUAACAUCAUCUCUUUGGUCAUUAUGCAUUGGACAUCCACACUGAGGUAUGUUGCUUAGCCAAAUUCCUCACCUGUCACUGUCAUAUUUUCUGAAAAAUUCCUUUGCCAGGAUUUCUUCUCCUGGGAAGAUGAGAAACCUCAGAGAAAAAACAAUAUUAUCUCAUUUGCUUCUCCCUGUUUCACUGCUUUAGAAUGUAGCUGGAGAUUGUUUACCAACAGGUGCAUGUUUGAUUAGUUUCAGGUAAAUUGUUUUUACUUAAUGACCAAUCACCAUCAGCUGUGUCGGACUCUGAGAAGUCAGUCACGAGUUUUUCAUUAUCGUUCUUGUUAAGCCUUCUGUCUGUAUCCUUUCUCUAUUCUUUAGUAUAGUUUUAGUAUAGUAUUCUUUUAUAUAAGAUAAUAGGAUAAAAUAAUAAAUUAGCCUUCUCAAAACAUGGAGUCAAAUUCACUCAUUUCUCACCUCGUCCUGGGGACCCCUGCAAAUACCACACUCACUUACUUUCAUUAUUAUGCAUACAGCUUUACUGACAGUAGAGAGAGGAGAUUAUCAGAUUUUUAUGAAAAUCAUGCUCAAAGAAAUUAUAGUUUUCCUCCAUAAUUUGUCAAUAUGAACUUCAUGCAGUUAUCUUGAUCAAGAAAUGGUAUGAAAGCUUAUACCCUUAGUCUUUCCUAACCUGCAAAACACGUGAAUAAAGCAGACAUAAGAAUAUUGUGCACCUGAAUAUAAAAUAAAUAUUUGCAGGUCAUUUACAUUGACAGAAUCUUUGGAUAAAAUAAAAAGGAGGCAGAUGCUUGGCUUAUGGAGCUAAGAGUGUUACCUUCACCCUUAUGCCUCCAUGGUAUAAGGGCUCGUGAUGGGCCAAGUGCACACAGACAGGUCGGUGGGUCCACAGGCGUUCUGUUCACUCCUUCAGCUGCACCUGCAGAAUGAAGCCUGGGCCAAAUUCUGAAACACGUGAAAGACUAGGAAAAUAUAAUAAGUUCCUUUUUUCUUUUAAUUUGGCAUUAUCAAUGCUCUUGGGUAGAGAUGACAGAGGCAUUAAUUAUCUGUAUACAGCUGCACUCCAAGCAAUUUUAUUUCUUUAAUAUGUCUAGGACAAUGGUUCACAUUGUUAUCAUUGGAGUUAGCUAGAGAAGCAGCACAAUAAAGUUAUAUUCCUUCAGGGUAUUUUUGCCGACAACAUUUUGUUACAAACAUAUUUUGAUGGAGUUAGGAAAUGUGAACUGGAUAUAUUUUCUGUUGGAAAAUCUGAUUGAAACUGAAGUGCUUUUAGAAAUAUGCUAUUUUUUAUUAGUACAAUGUUGAUAUGUACAACACUGAUAUGUACAAUAUUAAAAGCAAAA